GGGAAGGUCCAUGGUUCAGUGGUUGAGCAGCUACCUUGUAAGCAGAAGCUCCCAGGUUCAAUCCCUGGCAUCUCCCA
Non-coding RNA from Podarcis lilfordi (Lilford's wall lizard), 77 nucleotides. The record is from the annotation of a GenBank genome assembly. NCBI's taxonomy places the organism in Eukaryota, Metazoa, Chordata, Lepidosauria, Squamata, Lacertidae.